This 327-nucleotide ribosomal RNA is filed under the name uncultured eukaryote. RNAcentral's name for it is "partial 18S ribosomal RNA". It matches the Rfam family "Eukaryotic small subunit ribosomal RNA", at positions 1470 to 1796 of the family's 1831-position model. The record is from RNAcentral.
CCCUUAGAUGUUCUGGGCUGCACGCGCGCUACACUGACGAAUGCAACGAGCUUAUAACCUUGGCCGAAAGGUCUGGGUAAUCUCCAAAUUUCGUCGUGAUGGGGAUAGAUUAUUGCAAUUAUUAAUCUUCAACGAGGAAUGCCUAGUAAGCGCAAGUCAUCAGCUUGCGUUGAUUACGUCCCUGCCCUUUGUACACACCGCCCGUCGCUCCUACCGAUUGAAUGGUCCGGUGAAGCGUUCGGACCGUGGCUUUCUGACGGUUCGCCGUCGGAUGGCCGUGGGAAGUUCGUUAAACCUUAUCAUUUAGAGGAAGGAGAAGUCGUAACA